Long non-coding RNA from Glycine soja, 4628 nucleotides. RefSeq lists it as uncharacterized. Lineage: Eukaryota; Viridiplantae; Streptophyta; Magnoliopsida; Fabales; Fabaceae. The transcript is spliced from 3 exons. The record is from RefSeq and is a predicted model, not a curated record.
AUUUCACAUCUCUCAACCACUGCCUCCUACAGCGUUACGUUACAAUUGCUCAGACGAGUCCUUUUACAGACUUGCAACGUACACAAUGGCAAGGUUUUUGGAAUAACAUGAGAAGAUGAAACUGAGUAUAAAGGGAGGAUGAUACACUCACUCUUUUUUCCCUCACGGGCACCACCCUCACCUUCUUUCCCACUCUCUACACUCUAACUGAAUUCUCUCACCCAAGAUCAAUGACCACAUUAUUUGCCUUUAAGCUAUACCAUGAGUUAUCCCUAGCACCAAUUGCUCAACCACUCUUUCACUUUCAUCUCUUCCUCUCAUGUUCUUUUCUCUCAUACCCAGCACAUACACCCCCUCACAUAUAUAUCACCCUCCUCACACAGCAUAAAAAAAAAAAAGCAUCACCUAUUGGCAGCUAGCUAUGCAAAUAUGAAACACCACAAGUGAUAGAAAGUUUUCCACCCACUUACCCGUUCCAACACUUGGAUCAUACAGUAACUAUAUGGAUUUGGUUAGAGGAAUAGAUUAUCAUCUAAUUAUGUUCUCUCUACCUAGCUAGACAUCAAAUUUAUGAACAAAAAUAAAUCUAUGGAAGAACUCUCUGCAAAAACUGUUGCUGUGAACAUUAUUUGUCGGCUUAUUAUCUUCCAUUAUUCUAAAUGAGUUCUGGAAAAGCCAUGCGUAUAGAGGUUUUCUAGAGUUGUUGUACAGAAAGAGAGAAAUCGGAAGAGUUCCUUGCCGUGACAACUGACAAGGCAAAUAUGAAGAGAGGGCCAUGGUUAAAUUCCACCACUGCUUCUGAUCCUCCAGUGCAAACUCAGAAUCCCUGAAGCAGCAGAAGUUGUUGUGCCAGCCAUUUCCUCACUGGUCAGGUAGUUAGACAACUGAAACAACUGGGAUUUCUUCUGGAACAGUUUCUGUAGGAUCUAAUUCAUCUCCCUUAUAUGUUUCCACAGGUUAAUGAGAGUGCUUUUCCUUUUUUUCUCAAUUUAAAAGGCUAAAAAUGAUAGAAAUGGAAUUUGACCUCAGAACAUCCAUGAACUAGUGCCCAAACUCAUGAAUCUGUUAGGCUUGUAUCGGGAAUUUAAUUAUAUUUUUUUUAAUAUAAAUAUAGGAGAGUUCUUUUGAUGUUUUCAUAAUAGAGUUCUGUGUGGGAAGAGAGGGGAGUAGCGACAACAUAGUAUUUUUCCAUUAUAAAAGGCCUGGUACAUGAAUCAAAUAAUGCUAUGGGCUCUGUUAGAACUAAGUUUUCAAUAAAUCCAUUUAGAGUAAACUCUUUUCAAAUGGUUUUUCAGUAAGUUUUCUUUGAUCUUCAUCUGGCCUUUUGAUUCCACCACUGCAUUUUUAUUAUUAAUUAAAAAAAUCAACACCUUUUUUCAACACAUUCUUACUAUUAAUUAUUAAUUAAACAAAUUCAACGCAUUUUUAUGUUAUUUUUUAUAUUUUCUUUACUAUUAUUUUUUAUAUUAGCUGCAUCAAAUGUAUCAUUGAUGCGUUAAUGCCUCCUGUUGCAGCUAUAUUGUAACAAAACAUAGUAUCAUUGGGCUGUGUAUCUAAUUCUAGCAUGAUCCAGAGUAAUUGAUAUGAAAUUGUAAGCAGGCCAUUCCUCAUCAAGCAUGUCACCUAAAUUUAUUGGGGUUUAUAAUAAUACUUAUGGUUGAUUAUUUCACCCCUUGACUGGGUGACAUUUCUCAACUUCUCUUUUCAAUGGAUAGAAGGAAUCCUAUCCUUAUUUUUUCAUAUGGGAUCCCUUUUAUCCACUCGAAAGAGGGGUUGAAAAAUGUCGUCAGGCCAAGGUACAAAAUAAACACUCAUAAGUAUUAUAACCUCGAUGAAUUUAGGUAAUAUGCUUGAAGAGGAGUGGUCGAUCUGCUUACGAUUUCAUAUCAACAACUCUGGAUCCCACUAGAAUUAGCUACACACUACAACCCAAUGAAACUAUGUUUUGUUAUAAUAUAGCUACACCAGGAGGCAUUAGCAUCAAUGGUACAUUUGAUGCAACUAAUGAAGCCUAUCUCUAUGUAUGAAUAAGAAGUCAGCUUUGUCGACAAGAUUUCUACUAGCUACAACCACUUUGUUACCCCUUUCACUAAUGCAGAGCCUAAAACACUUUUAGAGUUGGUUCAAGGGGUAAGAAUUGAAAACCUCUUCUUUGAUAACAACGCCAAUGCCCACAUUUUUGGAUUGGAUGACUGACUAUUUCUCUAAUGUUAGACUUUCAUUAUGCUUCCAUUCUGUAACAUUCAAGUAAGAAGGGUUGGAUGGUGAUUAAAAUAGAUCUAGAAAAAGCCUAUGAUAGAUUGAACUAUACGUUGGAUAGAGAAACACUACAGGAUAUUGGCCUUCCUAAUUCUUUCUUGGAUCUAGUUUGGACUUGCAUUAUUACUCCUAGUAUGUGUAUGCUCUAGAAUAGAGAUGUUCUUAAGGAGUUUUGUCCUUCUCGUGUCAUAAAACAAGGAGAUCCUUUUCCUCAUUAUCUCUCUAUCUUAUGCAUGGAAAGAUUAUCCCAUAUUAUUAAUUUGUUGGUGGAUCAUAAAUUAUGGAUGCCCUUUCGUAUUUCAAGACGAAGGCCUUACUUGUCUCAUUUAGCCUUUGCUAAUGACCUUAUUCUAAUUAGUAAGGUUUCUUUGAACCGGGUGGAUAAUAUUCAAAAUUUUCUCAAAAUUUUUGGCAACAACUCAAGACAAGCGGUUAGACAAGAAAAAACCAAUAUCUUUUUCUCUAACAAUAUUCCCUUUAAUGUAAAUUAAAAUCCAAAUUAGUGAUGCCUUUGACUUUCAAAGAACUGAUAAUCUAGGAAAGUAUCUCGAGGUUUCUCUCUUGCACCACAAGGUAAAUCGAGUUACGUAUUAAGCAGUUUUGGAUAAUAUGAACCAACGACUAAGUAGCUAGAAGGAUAAACAACUUUCUUUUGUUGGGAGGUUAACUCUUACUAAAUCAGUUUUGGCAACUUUAGCUUCAUAUACCAUGCAAACAAUCUUCUUACCUCGCCUUCUUUGUAAGGACCUAAAUAAGAAGUCUAGAGGGUUCAUAUGGGGCGACAUUGAUGACCAAAGGAAUAUUCAUAUGGUGGCUUGGGAGAACAUCUUCAAACCCAAAUGUGAAGAAGGAUUAGGCAUUCAUUCAUCUCGCCAUGCAAAUAAAACAUUUAUGGUGAAAAGUUGUUGACAAAUUUGUACUUUUCUUAAUAAGUUGCAGGUCCACAUGGUCAAAUUAAAGUAUAUAUAAAUGAGGUUGAGAUGUGCUCCCUCUUAUAUCUAACUGUCCUAAUAGCCCCAACUUGACGUGGCAUGUUAGGGAUGGCAAUAAAACCAACUUCUGGAUGGAUUUGUGGCUUCCUAAAGUGGAUUAAUGAUAACCUGGUUGUCCAAAGUUUGCAUGGAACCAUCAAAAUAUCACUUUUGUAGUGUCUCUUUAUGCCAUUUGGUUCAUAAGAAGUAAUUUUGUGUUUCAUCAUCUUUUGUAGUUUUCAGUUUGGCCCAACUCAAUGUAACCUUUGUGGCAAAAUUGGACAUCAAGUGUUCAAAUGCAUCCAUAAGAAGACAGAAAAAGUUAGAAAGGCUGAGUACUUUUUUUUAGGACCCAAAAAUAUUUGGGUAUCAAAAUCUCAAACUAUUCCUAUUACAUUUAUCAUUGGUAGGAAAAGGGUAUGGUUUAAGCUCGUACCUAAAAAGUGGGUGCUCAAGGCACAAGACGAGGAAAAGGUCUAUGUUCCUAGACCUAAAAUCACUUGAAGGAGGAUUUGUCACCUUUGAAGGGAUGGGUAAAGAAGGCACUGUUGGUAAAGGAAAAAUUGGUAAGACUCGACUACCCACCAUAGAUAACAUCUUAUGUGUUGAAGGAAUCAAAUAUAAUUUGUGAAGCGUAAGUCAUUUUUUGCGAAAGUGGUUGCUCAAGGCACUGUUAGGAAAGGCAAAAUUGGUAAGCUCUCUCUAAAAGUGACAAUUUCUUACUUUUAUUGUGGUUCAUGCUCUAGAGAUGGUAAAAGGAAGCUGAUAGGGGCUGUUGAAUGAUGUGGUUGCUAAAUGUGUAGACUCUUAAGGUAGAAAGCCAGAGCACCAAGGGCUAACACUAUAGUAAGAUAUUGAACUUUAGUUGUAAAUAAUGGCAUUUUGGUUGUGUCUAUUUAUAUGAAUAAAACUCUGUUCUUGCUUUUAAAUAGCAUUUUCCUAUGAAAAUAUGAAUUGGUCCUCUAAGUAAUAAGAAAUUAAAUGUAAGACUAUUGCAAUUUCUUAUUUCUCUUUGAUUUUCUUAUAUUCAUUAAUUAUUAACUAACUUUGUUUUUCUUAGUCUUAAAUUACUCAUGUUUAUGUCCUCAACAAAUUUUUCUUCCAGAUUAGUUCUACAAGAAGUUCUAGACCAGAAGAGUGCAUUUCCAUGCUAUAUUUUGGAAUGUUACCUUAAUUCAUCAUGCUAUGCAAUAUGCACACUGAUUGUGAUCGUAGUUUUUGCUUCUCAAUUAGAUAGUGUUAAGACCAAAUUCUAUCAAACUUUGUGAUUUAAAUUUUGUAAAAUUUGGUGAUAAAUAUAAGUGGCAAAACAUUGAGGGAUGUAAUAUGGCUUGAGCUAUUUAGGGGCAUUGGGAUUAGAUUUUAAAUUAAAAUUGUAAUUUUUUUUUAAAAAAAAAA